This 465-nucleotide ribosomal RNA is filed under the name uncultured bacterium. RNAcentral describes it as "partial 16S ribosomal RNA". It matches the Rfam family "Bacterial small subunit ribosomal RNA", at positions 28 to 507 of the family's 1533-position model. The record is from RNAcentral.
GACGAACGCUGGCGGCGUGCUUAACACAUGCAAGUCGAACGGAAAGGCCCUGCUUGCAGGGUACUCGAGUGGCGAACGGGUGAGUAACACGUGGGUGAUCUGCCCUGCACUUCGGGAUAAGCUUGGGAAACUGGGUCUAAUACCGGAUAGGAGCCAUCUUUAGUGUGGUGGUUGGAAAGUUUUUUCGGUGUAGGAUGAGCUCGCGGCCUAUCAGCUUGUUGGUGGGGUAAUGGCCUACCAAGGCGGCGACGGGUAGCCGGCCUGAGAGGGUGUACGGCCACAUUGGGACUGAGAUACGGCCCAGACUCCUACGGGUGGCAGCAGUGGGGAAUAUUGCACAAUGGGCGCAAGCCUGAUGCAGCGACGCCGCGUGGGGGAUGAAGGCCUUCGGGUUGUAAACUCCUUUCGCUAGGGACGAAGCUUUUUGUGACGGUACCUAGAUAAGAAGCACCGGCUAACUACGUG